GUCCCUGUAGCGCAAUGGUUAGCGCGUUGGACUUCUAAUCCAAAGGUCGUGGGUUUGAAUCCCUCCUGGGAUG
Molecule: transfer RNA, 73 nt
Filed under: Trichonephila inaurata madagascariensis
Lineage: Eukaryota; Metazoa; Arthropoda; Arachnida; Araneae; Nephilidae
Rfam family: tRNA
About the family: Transfer RNA (tRNA) molecules are approximately 80 nucleotides in length. Their secondary structure includes four short double-helical elements and three loops (D, anti-codon, and T loops).
Source: Rfam by way of RNAcentral